This 434-nucleotide ribosomal RNA is filed under the name uncultured Lachnospiraceae bacterium. Its description in RNAcentral is "bacterial SSU rRNA". It matches the Rfam family "Bacterial small subunit ribosomal RNA", at positions 341 to 792 of the family's 1533-position model. Lineage: Bacteria; Bacillati; Bacillota; Clostridia; Lachnospirales; Lachnospiraceae. The record is from RNAcentral.
ACGGGAGGCAGCAGUGGGGAAUAUUGCACAAUGGGGGAAACCCUGAUGCAGCGACGCCGCGUGAGUGAAGAAGUAUUUCGGUAUGUAAAGCUCUAUCAGCAGGGAAGAAAAUGACGGUACCUGACUAAGAAGCCCCGGCUAACUACGUGCCAGCAGCCGCGGUAAUACGUAGGGGGCAAGCGUUAUCCGGAUUUACUGGGUGUAAAGGGAGCGUAGACGGCGCGGCAAGUCUGAAGUGAAAGCCCGGGGCUUAACCCCGGGACUGCUUUGGAAACUGCCAUGCUGGAGUGCUGGAGAGGUAAGUGGAAUUCCUAGUGUAGCGGUGAAAUGCGUAGAUAUUAGGAGGAACACCAGUGGCGAAGGCGGCUUACUGGACAGUAACUGACGUUGAGGCUCGAAGGCGUGGGGAGCAAACAGGAUUAGAUACCCUGGUA